RNAcentral lists this ribosomal RNA (253 nucleotides) under uncultured bacterium. RNAcentral describes it as "partial 16S ribosomal RNA". It matches the Rfam family "Bacterial small subunit ribosomal RNA", at positions 524 to 776 of the family's 1533-position model. The record is from RNAcentral.
UACAGAGGGUGCAAGCGUUAAUCGGAAUUACUGGGCGUAAAGGGCGCGUAGGUGGCUAAUUAAGUCAGAUGUGAAAUCCCUGGGCUUAACCUAGGAAUUGCAUAUGAUACUGAUUGGCUAGAGUGCAGAAGAGGGAAGUGGAAUUUCCGGUGUAGCGGUGAAAUGCGUAGAUAUCGGAAGGAACAUCAGUGGCGAAGGCGACUUCCUGGUCUGUUACUGACACUGAGGCGCGAAAGCGUGGGGAGCGAACAGG